AGGAGAUAUAGAGGAGGAUAUGUAGAGGAGGAGAUGUAGAGGAGGAGAUUAAGAGGUAGAGGAGGAGAUAUAGAGGAGGAGAGGUAGAGGAGGAGAUAUGGAGGUAGAGGAGGAGAUAUAGAGGAGGAGAUAUGGAGGAGGAGAUAUAGAGGAGGAGAGGUAGAGGAGGAGAUGUAGAGGUAGAGGAGGCGAUGUAGAGGAGGAGAUGUAGAGGAGGAGAUGUAGUGGAGGAGAUGUAGAGGAAGAGAUAUAGAGGAGGAGAUAUAGAGGAGGAGAGGUAGAGGAGGAGAUAUAGAGGAGGAGAUAUAGAGGAGGAGAUAUAGAGGUAGAAGAGGAGAUGUAGAGGUAGAGGAGGAGAUGUAGAGGAGGAGAUAUAGAGGAGGAGAUAUAGAGGAGGAGCUGUAGAGGAGGAGAUGUAGAGGAGGAGAUAUAGAGGAGGAGAUAUAGAGGAAGAGAUAUAAAGGUAGAGGAGGAGAAAUAGAGGAGGAGAUAUAGAGGAGG
RNAcentral lists this long non-coding RNA (501 nucleotides) under Salmo salar (Atlantic salmon). RNAcentral's name for it is "lncRNA (ENSSSAG00000103828.1)". Lineage: Eukaryota; Metazoa; Chordata; Actinopteri; Salmoniformes; Salmonidae. The record is from RNAcentral.